Thunnus maccoyii (southern bluefin tuna) is the source of this 1129-nucleotide long non-coding RNA. RefSeq lists it as uncharacterized. NCBI's taxonomy places the organism in Eukaryota, Metazoa, Chordata, Actinopteri, Scombriformes, Scombridae. The transcript is spliced from 3 exons. The record is from RefSeq and is a predicted model, not a curated record.
UGUCUUCAAACCAGGAAGUCAAUCCUCUGCCUCCCCUUCAGAGAAGUUUUGUGCUUCCAUCUGCAAACAUCUCUGUGUCAGAUAUCUCUUGACCUUCGCCGGGGAGUUCAAACAACCAACAAAAAAAAAAAAAGUUACGAGUGAGCGGGACUGAGCUGGAAGGAGGAAGAGGAGCGUGAGAGUAAAGAACGGGACGUCCAGACUUAUCCUGAAGGGACUUUUAAAGGAAACGGCUCGGACAUUGUGAAGAACAAGUUUGGUUUGGAAGAGCAUUCACACAGACUUUGACGAGUCUCCGCAGCAGCAGCAGCAGACUACAACCUCUUUCGCUCCUGGGUGCUGGUACCUCAGAUUUAUCCACCGAUAUUUCAAAAACUCAGAUGAUUCCAUUCGAAAAUCAUCAGGAUCCGUCGAGCCAAGGCCCAGAGAUGACUCACAACCUUCAUAAUAUCCCACAAUGUGCUUCUCUUCAUGCCAGCAGUCGUUUUGUGAGAGUAGGUGUGAUUUUUUUUUUUUUUUUUUGUUUUUUCUCAGAGUUGGACGUCUUUUUUUUUUUUUUUUUUUUUUGCUUUGGAGCGAAGCCUCUUCAUGUCCUCGCGCGAAUAAAAAUGAUGAAAGGCAGCGUUCGGUUUAUUUUUACAACUUUGGAUAGAAAGAGAGAAAGAGAGAGAGAGAGAGAGACUGAAAGAUGCUUCUCCUCUCUCACCCUUUUAAUCUUUGUAAAAACUUUAUCGACACCGCCGACGCAGGCAGCGAGACACAAGACUGAGAGGAUAAUGCCCAGUCGCAUGUUUGUUGACUGUCGUUGACAUAGAAACUGAUCUCGGGGAUAUAUCGCAAAGACUGUUGGAGUAUCAAUCACACACACACACACACACACACACACACACACACACACACACAGAAGGGUGCCCAGCUCUCGCCAAAGAACAAGGUUGGCUGAGUCUCAUCGCAGCCGCCUUGAAGUGUGUGUUUUGGUGUGUGUGUGUUUGAGUUUUAUGGUCUCAACUUGAAACAAGCCAACAUUAUGUUCCUGAUGUGUGUGUGUGUUUCUGUGCAUAUGUGUGUGUGUGUGUGUGUGUGUGUGUGUGUGUGUGUGAUGGAAACAAGUUUAUUAGUAGGUAUGAAA